GAGUUUGAUCGUGGCUCAGAUUGAACGCUGGCGGCAUGCCUUACACAUGCAAGUCGAACGGCAGCAUGAUCUAGCUUGCUAGAUUGAUGGCGAGUGGCGAACGGGUGAGUAAUACAUCGGAACGUGCCCUGUAGUGGGGAUAACUAGUCGAAAGAUUAGCUAAUACCGCAUACGACCUGAGGGUGAAAGUGGGGGACCGCAAGGCCUCAUGCUAUAGGAGCGGCCGAUGUCUGAUUAGCUAGUUGGUGGGUAAAGGCCCACCAAGGCGACGAUCAGUAGCUGGUCUGAGAGGACGAUCAGCCACACUGGGACUGAGACACGGUCCAGACUCCUACGGGAGGCAGCAGUGGGGAAUUUUGGACAAUGGGCGAAAGCCUGAUCCAGCAAUGCCGCGUGUGUGAAGAAGGCCUUC
This 412-nucleotide ribosomal RNA is filed under the name uncultured microorganism. RNAcentral's name for it is "bacterial SSU rRNA". It matches the Rfam family "Bacterial small subunit ribosomal RNA", at positions 9 to 419 of the family's 1533-position model. The record is from RNAcentral.